GAAAUGCGAUAAGUAAUGUGAAUUGCAGAAUUCAGUGAAUCAUCGAAUCUUUGAACGCACAUUGCGCCCGCCAGUAUUCUGGCGGGCAUGCCUGUUCGAGCGUCAUUUCAACCAUCAAGCCCCCGGCUUGUGUUGGGGACCUGCGGCUGCCCGCAGGCCCUGAAAACCAGUGGCGGACUCGCUGUCACACCGAGCGUAGUAGCAUACAUCUCGCUCAGGGCGUGCUGCGGGUUCCGGCCGUUAAAAGCCUUUUUUUACCCAAGGUUGACCUCGGAUCAGGUAGGAAGACCCGCUGAACUUAAGC
RNAcentral lists this unclassified non-coding RNA (304 nucleotides) under plant metagenome. Its description in RNAcentral is "partial contains 5.8S ribosomal RNA, internal transcribed spacer 2, and large subunit ribosomal RNA". The stretch from base 1 to 105 matches the Rfam family "5.8S ribosomal RNA", at positions 50 to 154 of the family's 154-position model. The record is from RNAcentral.